AUGACUAGCAUUAUUACAAGUGUUUGUGUUUCUCUAGUAUGUCUCACAGUUGUAUUUGGUAAAACUGCUUUCCAGUCACCUGGUGACCUCAUUAAGAACCAGGAUGAAUCUGCUGUGAUCAUAUGCACACACAAUAUACCAAACUAUGACCGUAUUCUUUGGUACAAAAAAGACAUCAUGGGCUUCAAGUUCAUGGGGUUUCUUAAUCUCAUAUAUGACAACCCUGAGUUGGAAUUUAUAAACAAGAUCAAACUUGAUGGAGUAAUGUGUGAGUAAUGAUUAAUUAAAGUAAUGUGUUUGUUACAUUAAUAAGAUAUAAGGAGCGCUGGUCACUUUAAGAGUUUGGAAUAAGCAAUGACGCUGACGCUAAUGUUUUCACGCAGUUCAGUGAUGUAAGUGUUCAGUUUAUGCAGUUCAGUAAAGCUGACGAGAACAAUAAAAAGUAAAAUAAGUUCAAGUACGAGUCCUCUUUACAGACAUUACACUCUGGUUGUAAAUUAUGGUAAAUUUCCUGCUGAAUUAUUUACUUAGGUCAAGGUCUACAUCAGCAUAAAUAUGUAUGUUUGAAACAUUUAUUCACUAGAAUAUCUGAGAUCAUUAUGAGUUUACUUGUUUUGUAUAUAAAGUGAUUCAAACAUGGAUUAACAAACGUGGAGAGAAACUUUCUUCACAGCAUAGUGUGGCAAGAAAUUGCAGCAAUUUGUAGGAAAUGCCAAGGGACCAUAAUAGAAAUUGUUAAGUAGGGGAGGUCAGGUGUCAAUACUGAUAGAAUUAUAUCAAACCAAAACUUUUUUUUUUUUCUCAACAAAGUAUUACUCUAGUCUAAAUCAACAUGUUCAGAGUUCUCCUAGUCUUGCUGCUUUGGCUUACAGGUAACUAUUUUAUAUUAAAUGAUGCUAAUGAUUUCAUAACACUGUUAAUUUCAAUUAAGUAUAAUGUGCUUUUUUGUUUCUUUUUACAGGUUCUGUUGUUAAUGGCAGUGUUAAUCAAAGCCCCUCAAAUCUAAUUAAAUCUGAGAGAGACAAUGCAGAACUUGUAUGCGAAUACAACAUACCAUCUUACACUAGGAUUUUCUGGUACAAACAAACACUUGGCCAUGACUUCAUAUUCCUUGGAUAUAUCUGGAAUAAGAAUUCUUACCCAGAGGAUAAUCUCAAUAAAAAAAAAUAAAAUAAAAAAAAAAAAAAACACUUCCACUCAAGGGCUUGGUUGAAUUUCCCGCUAAUAUUUGUAUCCUUCUGUGAGGGUAGCAGUCAUGUGGACUAAAUAUCAAUACUAAAUUGGAAUUUAAACAAUAUUCAUUUCAUAAAAUAUAUUCACAGUUGUUUACAGUGAUAUAGUGCAAUCAUUAUGUAUCUUAAUUUGAACAGCAUGGCCGUGAAUGUAUGUUUCUCUAAUACACAUUUAAUAUAUUAAAUAUCAUCUUACUAAGACAUAUUUUUGGGAGAAAUAGAGUAACAUCUGCAUUUUAUUUCUGCUGUGCUGUUAUAAAGAUCUCACACUGAGUGACUGAACACUCAAAGUC
Molecule: long non-coding RNA, 1525 nt
Organism: Cyprinus carpio carpio
Lineage: Eukaryota; Metazoa; Chordata; Actinopteri; Cypriniformes; Cyprinidae
Source: Ensembl